GUGGCAUUUGUAAAUGAGAGUCGGGGUAGUGGGCUUUCCAAGUCCCUUUGGCUCUUUAUCUGUGAUUCUAUAAUUGCAGGCAAGAUUUGCAAAGCGCUUUAGGACCUACAAAGUGUUUUUCAUACAACAAUGGGGACACGGCGUGGCAUAAUAGAAAUAACGCUGUAUUUGGAAUGAGAAGGCCUGGGUUUUAAUCCUGGCUCGGCCACCGAUACUGGCUAAAUUUCCUUCAACUGUAAGAAUGAGGUACUUGGACUAAAUAACCUCUAAACCCCAAUGGUCUACCUAUUCAAAAGCAUUCUAGCAUUUACACCGUGAAAUUCUAUAAUUCCGGAGGAUACCGGGAGGGGGAAGGGGAGCGCCAACCAUUGGGUGAAUGGGAGGAGCCAGGUCCACGUUUCGGGCAGCGGAUUGGCUGGGCCGUUCGUGGGCAGCAUCAGUGUCGUUCUGGAGCCCGCCCCCUUUCUGGACGCCCCAGCGCCUGCGCACUGGUCCCCGCCGCGCCACCGCGCCAUUUUGCCGGGGUUUGAAUGUGAGGCGGUGCCGCAGCUGGAGCGGCAUAGCUGGGUACUGUAUAAAGCCAAGCAUCCUCUUCUCCUUUCCCGUAUUACGAAGAGGUUAAGGUGGAGAGGGAAUCCCUCAGCGUGAGGAACUCGCCUUUCCCCGGUAAUGCCUGUUAGGUUUACUCUUCUCCAUCUGGGGCUCGGCCGCGGGUACCUCCUUUUUUUCCCCUCCAUUUACGAUGAGAUUGUUAUCUUUUAGCUGUUACCGGGAAUUCUCAUCAUUAAAUUUGGUGGGGACUUUGGGGUGAGGCAUGACUACCGUAUCGCCUCCAGGAGGCACAUAGAUAUUUCUCUUUUCCCUUGGCAUCUUUUUUUCCUCUAUGCUUUAAAUACAGGGGAUGGGGAGGAAGGGACAGAGCUUAUUUUUUCUUUUUCGGGGUGGUUGCUGUUGUCGGCUACCUUCCUAAUGACCAGGGCCCUUUCUUUUACACCGUUUUCACUCCUAAAUUUUUCCGUAUUGCCUUCUUUCUUUUUCUCCUUUUCCUUCUCCUUCCCCCACCCCCAAUCCAGGGGAAUAACACCUAUCUUCCUUCCAAGUUACUGCUCUGUCGGCAUCCUUUGGGGAUAGAAAGGUAUAUAGAUAAAUCGACUAAUGGGGAAUCUUUAUGUCAUGGGGAAAUCCCUUCUUUGCAAGUUAGAGCGGCCUCUUUGGAUAUAGGAGCACCUAAAAGUCUUUAAGGCUUUGGGAGUGGUAGACUGCUGAAAGUAGUGGUUACAUUAAGAUUAACCGUUGUCGUUAUCAUAAGUCUUUAUUUUGGGGGAUCCUUUUUCGUAUUUCAAGAGUCUGAAAUUGGAAUCAUCCAUUGAAGUGCAAAUUUACAGGAGAAAAGAAGUAGACAAUAGACCAUUCUUUUCAACAAUCUCAAUAUUAAAUUUCUUUUUUCCUUCUGCUUUAUGAUUUACUGGUUCUUAAAAAAAUUUUUAAUCUAAAUUUUUUUUUAAUUUGGGGAGUUAGAGGUUCCAAACAAUAAUCCAACAGGAAAAUGUUGGAAUUUCCUUGGAUGGGGGGGAGAAGAUUUAAUUUACUAGCACUAAUGUGUGUUGUUGGGAGUUUCAAUU
This 1622-nucleotide long non-coding RNA is filed under the name Phascolarctos cinereus (koala). Its description in RNAcentral is "lncRNA (ENSPCIG00000035491.1)". The record is from RNAcentral. Lineage: Eukaryota; Metazoa; Chordata; Mammalia; Diprotodontia; Phascolarctidae.